Chelonia mydas (Green sea turtle) is the source of this 553-nucleotide long non-coding RNA. RefSeq lists it as uncharacterized. NCBI's taxonomy places the organism in Eukaryota, Metazoa, Chordata, Testudines, Cheloniidae. The record is from RefSeq and is a predicted model, not a curated record. The transcript has 4 exons.
AAUUUACAUGAACUGAAGUGGAAAAAUGUUCACAGGAACCCCUGAGAACAGAAACUGACUAGGUUCCCAUGACACUACUUAAUGAGCCUCCAUUUUUCUUUGUUAUAUUAUGGAGCAGGGGCAGCUGCUAUUCCAUAGCUGAGGAUGCACCCCGGCCCCGUUCCCCCGCCCCUUUACCUGAUUCAUUGACAAGAAUAUUGCAAGGCAUCCACUCUGGAGCGGGGCACUUGUUUGGUGUUCUCACAAAUUUCUAAACUUCAUUCCAUCGUAGCGAGUCUCAUGGAAGAUAUAGAACAGGAUUCGAUGCAGGCCAAUUUCAUCAGGAGUUCUGAAGUAUCCAAAAAGGAUUGCCCUUUUGUAUGAACUUUUCUCCCAGAAUGCCUUUUUGGGGUGGCCCUUUAAAUUUGACGGAGACAAACAGUUACAGACCUCAAAUGGCUACUUAGUAGCUGCUUUCUUUUUGCUGCAUCUUCUACUCUUUCCAGCUGGAUCAAGCUGCCUUUUACUAAUUAAUGAGGUAGAACUAUAAUCAGCAUCAGGUAUGUAGAAGCUG